UCCCCUAGUAACGGCGAGUGAAGCGGGAAGAGCUCAAAUUUGAAAUCUGGCGGUCUCAGGCCGUCCGAGUUGUAAUCUAGAGAGGUGUUUUCCGUGCCGGACCGUGUACAAGUCCCUUGGAACAGGGCGUCAUAGAGGGUGAGAAUCCCGUCCAUGACACGGACUACCGGUGCUCUGUGAUACACCUUCAAAGAGUCGAGUUGUUUGGGAAUGCAGCUCAAAAUGGGUGGUAAAUUCCAUCUAAAGCUAAAUACAGGCGAGAGACCGAUAGCGAACAAGUACCGUGAGGGAAAGAUGAAAAGAACUUUGGAAAGAGAGUUAAACAGUACGUGAAAUUGUUGAAAGGGAAACGCUUGAAGUCAGUCGCGUCUGCCAGGACUCAGCCUUGCUUUUGCUUGGUGCACUUCUUGGUGGAUGGGCCAGCAUCGAUUUUGGCCGCYGGAAAAGGGCGGGAGGAAUGUGGCAGCUUUUGCUGUGUUAUAGCCUUCNGUCGUACACGGUGGUUGGGAUCGAGGACUGCAGCACGCCUUUGGUCGGGGUUCGCCCACGCCACGUGCUUAGGAUGCUGGCGUAAUGGCUUUAAACGACCCGUCUUGAAACACGGACCAAGGAGUCUAACAUGCCUGCGAGUGUUUGGGUGCAAAACCCAGGCGCGUAAUGAAAGUGAAAAGUUGGGACUCUUUAGUGAGGCACCGACGCCCGACCCUGAAGUCUUCUGACGGGUUUGAGGCAGAGCAUGUAUGUUGGGACCCGAAAGAUGGUGAACUAUGCCUGAAUAGGGUGAAGCCAGAGGAAACUCUGGUGGAGGCUCGUAGCGAUUCUGACGUGCAAAUCGAUCGUCAAAUUUGGGUAUAGGGGCGAAAGACUAA
This 869-nucleotide ribosomal RNA is filed under the name Auricularia thailandica. RNAcentral's name for it is "eukaryotic LSU rRNA". It matches the Rfam family "Eukaryotic large subunit ribosomal RNA", at positions 76 to 934 of the family's 3401-position model. Lineage: Eukaryota; Fungi; Basidiomycota; Agaricomycetes; Auriculariales; Auriculariaceae. The record is from RNAcentral.